CUACGGGGCGCUGCAGUGGGGAAUAUUGCACAAUGGGCGAAAGCCUGAUGCAGCAACGCCGCGUGAGGGACGACGGCCUUCGGGUUGUAAACCUCUUUUAGCAGGGAAGAAGCGAAAGUGACGGUACCUGCAGAAAAAGCACCGGCUAACUACGUGCCAGCAGCCGCGGUAAUACGUAGGGUGCAAGCGUUGUCCGGAAUUAUUGGGCGGAAAGAGCUCGUAGGCGGUUUGUCGCGUCUGCUGUGAAAAUCCGAGGCUCAACCUCGGACCUGCAGUGGGUACGGGCAAACUAGAGUGCGGUAGGGGAGAUUGGAAUUCCUGGUGUAGCGGUGGAAUGCGCAGAUAUCAGGAGGAACACCAAUGGCGAAGGCAGAUCUCUGGGCCGUAACUGACGCUGAGGAGCGAAAGCGUGGGGAGCGAACAGGAUUAGAUACCCCCGUAGUC
RNAcentral lists this ribosomal RNA (444 nucleotides) under uncultured bacterium. RNAcentral's name for it is "partial 16S ribosomal RNA". It matches the Rfam family "Bacterial small subunit ribosomal RNA", at positions 339 to 795 of the family's 1533-position model. The record is from RNAcentral.